This 267-nucleotide ribosomal RNA is filed under the name uncultured Anaerolineaceae bacterium. Its description in RNAcentral is "partial 16S ribosomal RNA". It matches the Rfam family "Bacterial small subunit ribosomal RNA", at positions 1105 to 1382 of the family's 1533-position model. Lineage: Bacteria; Bacillati; Chloroflexota; Anaerolineae; Anaerolineales; Anaerolineaceae. The record is from RNAcentral.
UCGCUGUGUGUUACAAGUGUCACACGGAACUUGCCGGUCGAUAAACCGGAGGAAGGUGGGGAUGACGUCAAGUCAGCAUGGCCUUUAUAUCCUGGGCUACACACACGCUACAAUGGGAAGGGACAAUAGGUUGCGAAGCCGCGAGGCGGAGCCAAUCCAGCAAAACUUCCCCCAGUUCAGAUUGCAGGCUGCAACUCGCCUGCAUGAAGUUGGAGUUGCUAGUAAACGCAGGUCAGCCAUACUGCGUUGAAUACGUUCCCGGGGCUU